Molecule: ribosomal RNA, 254 nt
Filed under: uncultured bacterium
Lineage: Bacteria
Description: partial 16S ribosomal RNA
Rfam family: Bacterial small subunit ribosomal RNA
Source: RNAcentral
UACGGAGGGGGCUAGCGUUGUUCGGAAUUACUGGGCGUAAAGCGCACGUAGGCGGCUUUGUAAGUUAGAGGUGAAAGCCCGGGGCUCAACCCCGGAAUUGCCUUUAAGACUGCAUCGCUUGAACGUCGGAGAGGUGAGUGGAAUUCCGGAGUGUAGAGGUGAAAUUCGUAGAUGAUUCGGAAGAACACCAGUGGCGAAGGCGGCUCACUGGACGACUGUGACGCUGAGGUGCGAAAGCGUGGGGAGCAAACAGG